AGCGCGGUGGUCCCACCUGACCCCAUGCCGAACUCAGAAGUGAAACGCCGUAGCGCCGAUGGUAGUGUGGGGUCUCCUCAUGCGAGAGUAGGGA
This 94-nucleotide ribosomal RNA is filed under the name Escherichia coli. The record is from RNAcentral. Lineage: Bacteria; Pseudomonadati; Pseudomonadota; Gammaproteobacteria; Enterobacterales; Enterobacteriaceae.